Molecule: ribosomal RNA, 253 nt
Filed under: uncultured bacterium
Lineage: Bacteria
Description: partial 16S ribosomal RNA
Rfam family: Bacterial small subunit ribosomal RNA
Source: RNAcentral
UACGUAGGGGGCGAGCGUUGUCCGGAGUUACUGGGCGUAAAGGGCAUGCAGGCGGUCGGACGCGUUUCGGGUGACAGCGGGUGGCUUAACUACCCGAGUGGUCGAAAGACGGUUUGACUUGAGGACGCGAGAGGGACACGGAAUUCCGGGUGGAGUGGUGAAAUGCGUAGAGAUCCGGAGGAACACCGAAGGCGACGGCAGUGUCCUGGCGCGUAACUGACGCUGAGGUGCGAAAGCUAGGGGAGCGAAUGGG